RNAcentral lists this long non-coding RNA (1336 nucleotides) under Equus asinus (donkey). Its description in RNAcentral is "lncRNA (ENSEASG00005024156.1)". The record is from RNAcentral. Lineage: Eukaryota; Metazoa; Chordata; Mammalia; Perissodactyla; Equidae.
AUGGGCCCUCUAGGACUUCCAAAUUGCUGGUCUGGGAAUAGGACCCAAUUCUAUAUGCCUCUGUCUUGGGAGGAGGGCUGCCUUAAUCUGAGUGAAACAGGAGGUCACCUGUGAGAGUGUGCUGGAGGCACGGUCCCUUGAUGUAGCUAGAGGAAAGGGCCGUGGAGCUGCCAUUUCUUGAGUCAGGGUCAGAGGGGAGUGGAGUGAAGUAACUCCAAUUUUCAGGGAGAAGAAGACUAGAGAUACAGGGAACCACCCCGUGGGUGUUGCAGAGGCAGCUGUUUAAAUAAAUUCCUCUAGCCAGAAAUUGCCUUGAUAGGCAGAAGGGUGUGUCUCCCUGGGAGGGGACCAAAGAUCAUGACCCGGAGACAUUGUGAUGACUGAGCAGAGAUAAAAGAGGAGGAGACAGUGCAGCUGCACCUCCAGAGGCAUUUGGGGCUGCUGCAGAGGCUGGUGACCUCUGGCUGGAGAGCAGAGUGGAGAGCUCUAGGCUUCCUCUGGGACUAUCUCCAGGGUCAGAAUCAACCGCAACUUCUCAGGUUACCUGAGAGCAGAAAAGGGGCAGGGCCAGGGCACCAGCAGAGGAGACAGAGCUUGGUUGGCCAAGCUGAAGAAGAGAGAGGUCAUCAGGGACUACUAGAUCAUGGCAGCAGCGACCGCCUGCAUCUUGGCACAGAAAAAGAUUUCCAGCAACUGUGAGCUGAAUAAAGUUUUUUCGCCUCUUCCUCUAAACUCCACGAGUUCGUGCCCCCGUCUGCCUCUUCAAACAUUUGCUUAGAUACAGCUUUGUUGACAAGCGUCCCGUCUUGGCGAUGCCGCCUGCUCUUCCGUGCUUCUCAAGCAUCCUCGGCCGCCCCUAGGCGGACCCCUUCCUGAGACUUCCCAUCAGAGGCUCAUCUCCUCCCACCGUUCCACUGGGGCACUUUGUCUACGCAGACUGUGGUUUUUAUUUCUCGUUGGACUGUGUACCGCUGUUUUUGUUUUAGCAGUUCAUACACUUCUGGGCCCUCAGCAAGGGCUCAGUAAAGUUGUGCCUUGGCUUUCUAGCCUGUUACAGCCCCAAGGAAAUGGUGCUCGGAACCGUGGUCGCCUUUCGCAUCCUACGUGGAUCAAACCAGUUAGGAGGCGUUAUCGGUGGAGCUUUUGAGGGCAAAGAAAGUUGUAUGUUGGGCCGAAGAGGGGGGUCCCCGUAAAACCUGGGGCCCUCGUCGUGCUUUCCAGACCGGCCCGAAACGCACCCCUCGGCCAGAGAGAGAGCCCAACGCCCGUCGCAGGCGGGGGCGACAGCGGCUAUCUGCAAAACCCGGCGGCGGAUCCGGGCCGGCCCGGAAGUGGC